GGCGGGGGCUUCGGCGGGGGUCAAGGCGGGGGUUACGGCAAGGGUCACGGCGGAGGAUACCAUACAGCAGGCUAUAAAGCUGGAAGCCACUCGCAAGGUGGCUACGGUGGCGAAAGCGCGUACCAGCAUUCCGGCGGCCAGCAGUUCCAGAAGACGUUCGGCACCAAGGAAACUUACGGAACGAAAGAAACUUUUGGCAGUGUGUCAGGCGCGUCGCACGCGCAGGGCUCAGGCCAUAAUUCCUACGGAGGUGGUUACAGUACAGGCGAAUACCAGCAGGGAGAGUCUGCCAGCGGUUACGGAGGCGGGAUCAGCGGUGGUCACGGGGGUGGAUGGUAGUCAAACAUUUUUUUGUGAUGAAAACCCUUCGCAGAGGCAGAAUAUUUGCCGAGGUCUAAACUACCGGUGCCUUCCAAGGAUGGAGUACAAGCCAUAACUAUAUAUACAUUUAUUUACGCUGGAUAGUGUCAAUUCAUUAGAAUACGAGUACGAUUUUUGCCUUGGGACGAUGCCUCAGCCCGUGCUACAGAGAAUCUUACGCUUGAAAAUCACCAUCUACAUAGUUUCUAGUAAAGUAAGUAGGAAAUGUAUAGAGCAGACGAUUUCAUUUUGGUACUUAACAGAGGUACUAAGAACUUACAGCUAGACAAUUUAUGAGCAGAAAGUUCGCUGUUACAAGAUUAUUUCUAAAAAAGCAUAAAAACUGCUGUCUCAACUGGCUAAACACGGCGCAUCGUAACGACAAACAGCUUAAUAAUGGGUGUGCAAUAUUGUAUGUACAGCGAUGGUGUUACCUGCUAUAGGUAAUUUCGUUCUGACAGAGGCUCUCUACUAGUAUGCUUUUACAAUAUGACAACUGCAUCUACGACUACUCUUAUUUUGUAUUAUAGAAACGCAGAAUGGCAUAAUGUUUCGUUUAUCUAAUCGAAAAAUCGUUAAUGUAUCAAAUGCUGUGAUGGCAUAAAUUAACAGACGUCCUAGCUUCUGCUAUACUAUCCAAAGGCCGCUCUUGGCGUUGCCUGGGUUUGAAAAGGUUUUGUCAACAAUCUCGCCAGUGUACUUAUGUUUGUGUAUUUGCUGAAGUUUGUUAUGCUUUAAUUAAAUAAAAUCAAAUCAAAAAACCUAA
This is a long non-coding RNA of Varroa destructor (honeybee mite), 1126 nucleotides long. Lineage: Eukaryota; Metazoa; Arthropoda; Arachnida; Mesostigmata; Varroidae. The record is from RefSeq and is a predicted model, not a curated record.